UACGGAGGGUGCAAGCGUUGUCCGGAUUUAUUGGGUUUAAAGGGUGCGUAGGCGGUCUUUUAAGUCAGUGGUGAAAGCCUCCAGCUUAACUAGAGAAAUGCCAUUGAUACUGGGAGACUUGAGUACAGACGAGGUAGGCGGAAUUGACAGUGUAGCGGUGAAAUGCAUAGAUAUUGUCAAGAACACCGAUUGCGAAGGCAGCUUACUAGACUGUAACUGACGCUGAGGCACGAAAGUGUGGGGAUCAAACAGG
Molecule: ribosomal RNA, 253 nt
Filed under: uncultured bacterium
Lineage: Bacteria
Description: partial 16S ribosomal RNA
Rfam family: Bacterial small subunit ribosomal RNA
Source: RNAcentral